This 420-nucleotide ribosomal RNA is filed under the name uncultured Dysgonomonas sp. RNAcentral describes it as "bacterial SSU rRNA". It matches the Rfam family "Bacterial small subunit ribosomal RNA", at positions 356 to 774 of the family's 1533-position model. The record is from RNAcentral. Lineage: Bacteria; Pseudomonadati; Bacteroidota; Bacteroidia; Bacteroidales; Dysgonomonadaceae.
GAGGAAUAUUGGUCAAUGGACGAGAGUCUGAACCAGCCAAAUCGCGUGAAGGAAGACUGCCCUACGGGUUGUAAACUUCUUUUGUACAGGAAUAAAAGACAUUACGUGUAAUGUAUUGCAUGUACUGUACGAAUAAGCAUCGGCUCACUCCGUGCCAGCAGCCGCGGUAAUACGGAGGAUGCGGCGUUAUCCGGAUUUAUUGGGUUUAAAGGGUGCGCAGGCGGGAUUUUAAGUCAGCGGUGAAAUUUUCAGGCUCAACCUGAACACUGCCGUUAAAACUGGGUUUCUUGUGUAGGGAUGAAGUAGGGGGAUUUGUUGGUGUAGGGGUAACUUGUUGAAAAAAAACGAAGAACUCCGAUUGCGUAGGAAGUUUACAAAGCCAUAACUGACGCUAAAGAACAAAAGCGUGGGGAUAAAAAA